RNAcentral lists this ribosomal RNA (253 nucleotides) under uncultured bacterium. RNAcentral's name for it is "partial 16S ribosomal RNA". It matches the Rfam family "Bacterial small subunit ribosomal RNA", at positions 524 to 776 of the family's 1533-position model. The record is from RNAcentral.
UACGUAGGUGACAAGCGUUGUCCGGAUUUACUGGGCGUAAAGAGCGCGCAGGCGGUCGAUCAAGUCGAGUGUGAAAGCCCCCGGCUCAACUGGGGAGGGUCAUUCGAUACUGAUCGACUCGAAGGCAGGAGAGGGUAGUGGAAUUCCCGGUGUAGUGGUGAAAUGCGUAGAUAUCGGGAGGAACACCAGUGGCGAAGGCGACUACCUGGUCUGCUCUUGACGCUGAGGCGCGAAAGCUAGGGGAGCAAACGGG